GUCCAAUCUUUUAUACUAACCCCUUACAUUUCCACCCCUUACACAGCUGAGAUUUGAAUCUGGAUCCUCUGGUUAUAGAUCUCAUGUCUCUUCUGCUAUACCAUGGGGCUUGGAGCAGAUCAGCUUUAGGAUCCCAUCCAACUCAAAUAUUCUGUGAUUCUAGUGUUUACAACAUGAACCAUUCCAUCUUUUGCCGUCCUUGAAAAACUUGCUGAUGUGAAGUGAAACUUCAGCAUCCAGAGCUAUUGUGAGGAUGAAUGGAAUGCUGCUGCUACUAAAACACAUAUGGCAAUGCUUGGAGAAAAGCUAUGUUGUUACUAUCAUCGUUGCCUAACUUGUUGAGUGAGGGAAGGGAAAAGGACUACUGCUCUACAGGGCCUCUGGGAAGUGGGAAUAGCAGGAAACGUCAGAAAAGAAGAUGGGUCUGAAGACUGAGGCUGACUGUAUGGCAUUAGGUAUGUCACUUUGCCUCUGGCCCUCUGUUUCCUUAUCUGUUAAUGAGAAAAUAGGACCAGACAGUCUCUAAGAUCUCUUCCAGCUUGAAAAAAAUUGAUUAGGCAGUCUGCUUGGACCUGUUUCCUUAUAUGUAAAAUUAAAGAAAAGUUAGACUAUAUUACCAUUACUUUCCCAACAAGGGUUAGAGACCCAAAGAUCCUAUCACUUAUUUAGGGGCAGGCUGUCAGAGGGAAGAAACAGAGGCCAGUGGUAUGUCAUAGCACUAGCCUUCAGCCACCACUGGCUGGUUUCUUCUUGCCCCCACACGAUGGUUAUCUCAGCCAAGCAAACCAGGUUAUCCUUCAUAGCCCUCCGAAAUGCCCUGUUGUUAUUUCCAUAAGCCCUAGCUGCCUCCCUGAGAGACCA
This 861-nucleotide long non-coding RNA is filed under the name Monodelphis domestica (gray short-tailed opossum). Its description in RNAcentral is "lncRNA (ENSMODG00000049513.1)". The record is from RNAcentral. Lineage: Eukaryota; Metazoa; Chordata; Mammalia; Didelphimorphia; Didelphidae.